RNAcentral lists this ribosomal RNA (253 nucleotides) under uncultured Bacteroides sp. RNAcentral's name for it is "partial 16S ribosomal RNA". It matches the Rfam family "Bacterial small subunit ribosomal RNA", at positions 524 to 776 of the family's 1533-position model. Lineage: Bacteria; Pseudomonadati; Bacteroidota; Bacteroidia; Bacteroidales; Bacteroidaceae. The record is from RNAcentral.
UACGGAAGGUCCGGGCGUUAUCCGGAUUUAUUGGGUUUAAAGGGAGCGUAGGCCGGUCUUUAAGCGUGCCGUGAAAGUUUGCGGCUCAACCGUAAAAUUGCAGUUGAUACUGGCAUCCUUGAGUACAGUAGAGGUAGGCGGAAUUCGUGGUGUAGCGGUGAAAUGCUUAGAUAUCACGAAGAACUCCGAUUGCGAAGGCAGCCUGCUGGACUGUAACUGACGCUGAUGCUCGAAAGUGUGGGUAUCAAACAGG